UAAAGGCAUUUGCCANACCUAGCAGGGAA
This 29-nucleotide non-coding RNA is filed under the name Rattus norvegicus (Norway rat). The record is from RNAcentral. Lineage: Eukaryota; Metazoa; Chordata; Mammalia; Rodentia; Muridae.